GCCCUGGAGCCCCGGCUGCCCUCGGGGCUGCUGCCGGCCUCUGGCAGCCGUGCCCUUGGGCUGAGUCAGGAUGCGGCAAGGGCUGGGGCUGAGCCCUGCCGGGGCGGGAGGCCGUGUGGCCCCAGGGCUGGCAGCGCCGCUGGCAGGGAGCUGUGCCGCCGGGGCCCUGACAGGCUCUGUGUUCCCAGGGAUUGCCGGGCGGCUCCUGAGGGGGCAGAAGGAAGAGCUGCAGCUACUUUACCAGUCCCUUGAGAAAAUGGUGGAUGACAGCAGCCCUGUCAUCGGAAACCUGGCAGUUCAAACACAGUACAUCGUCGAGGCAAUAGAAAGGCCUCGCUAUUCCAUCUUUGACAACCUGCAAGUUCAGUUGCGCAGGGCAUGGAGGACACGGCCUCGUCUGCCGGGCCUCCGCUGGCUGCGCUGCUGGAGCUCUCCUGGCAACUGAUCCGGCAGGCUCUGUCUGCUGGGCCCACCUGAGAGAGCAGCGGUUUUCCUUUUCCGUAGCAUUGUUCCUUUCUUCUUUUUGUUUUCUUUUUGUAUGUAAAUAUAGUAUAUGUUAUAAUAGGCAGUCUCCCAAGACCUUUCUUUUGCUGCCCAUGGUGCACAGGGCAUAGGGAAAGAGGGUGAAAAGGGUGCUUGUGCUCGGCAAGCUGCCCAGGUGUGCAGUGGUGCAGGGAAAGUGGCCAGAAACCCCUUGGCCUGUGGUGGUUCUGCUGAAGCCACAACCUCUGUCCCAGCCAGGAAGCGCCAUCUGUGUCCUCGUGCCCGUGUGGUGCUGGCUGCGUUGCUGAGGGCUUCCAGGUGCCUCUUGAUCCGGCUCCUCUGGAGCUCCUGUGGGGCUGCGGCGCUGCUGCCGGGCCACGCUGGGGGAGCCCCUGAGGGAACAGGGCACUAGGAGGCUGUAAUUGGAUGAGGGAGCGUGGAGGCCCCAACAGGACAAGGCCAUGGGAAGGCAUGAGGGGGAUGUGUGGAGGCUGGAGGCUCCAAGGGGACAGGAGUCCCCUGAGGGGCCGGGGUGGUGGGAAGACCUGAGGAACUGGGUGUCAGAGGCCAUAAGCAGCCCCUGGGCAGCCGCCUUGUUCCUGACACCCGGCUGAUCUGGCGCUUCCCCAAAAUGUCUCCCAGGCCUGCAGCAGAAGGCCUCGAGGCUGGGACACCACCCCUCCAGGAGGGUGGGGAUAGCCUGAGGUGCCCAGGCUGGGCUGGCUGGGGACAUGCAGGGCAGGGGGGUGCUGCCAGGCCACGGCCACUGGGUGCCU
This 1259-nucleotide long non-coding RNA is filed under the name Parus major (Great Tit). Its description in RNAcentral is "lncRNA (ENSPMJG00000006529.1)". Lineage: Eukaryota; Metazoa; Chordata; Aves; Passeriformes; Paridae. The record is from RNAcentral.